CCUGUACUUGGUGUUACUGCGAAGGGGGGACGGAGAAGGCUAUGUUGGCCGGGCGACGGUUGUCCCGGUUUAAGCGUGUAGGUGUGUGUUCCAGGUAAAUCCGGUUCACUUUAACACUGAGGCGUGACGACGAGGCACUACGGUGCUGAAGCAACAAAUGCCCUGCUUCCAGGAAAAGCCUCUAAGCAUCAGGUAACAUCAAAUCGUACCCCAAACCGACACAGGUGGUCAGGUAGAGAAUAC
RNAcentral lists this ribosomal RNA (243 nucleotides) under Salmonella enterica subsp. enterica serovar Newport. Its description in RNAcentral is "partial 23S ribosomal RNA". It matches the Rfam family "Bacterial large subunit ribosomal RNA", at positions 1438 to 1681 of the family's 2925-position model. The record is from RNAcentral. Lineage: Bacteria; Pseudomonadati; Pseudomonadota; Gammaproteobacteria; Enterobacterales; Enterobacteriaceae.